Long non-coding RNA from Bradysia coprophila, 1253 nucleotides. The record is from RefSeq and is a predicted model, not a curated record. NCBI's taxonomy places the organism in Eukaryota, Metazoa, Arthropoda, Insecta, Diptera, Sciaridae.
GUUUUCAUUUUUUACCAUGUUCAGAAUGGUAUGCAACGAUCAUCGUGGACGAUUUUUUUACGUUUUUUGGAUUUUGUUAUUUAUUUUCAAUUACCCAACUGAAUGUGGACAAGAAAAUACUUGACAUUUUUUACCCAUCCGAUUAUAUACGUGUUCACCUAUACAGUAUAUUCAUUCCAUAUCGUUUACAGUAAAAAUGAAAGGAAAAUACCAGACCUUUGUUCAAAGAAAACUCUGUAUGAAACAGACCAUUUUCUUCAUAAAAAAAAUAUUUUUUUUUAGAUUAAUAGUACCAAACCCUCAUAGGGUAAAUGUACUAGUCGCCGGACAUGUAUGAUUAGUCGGAUACGUAUUGUAAUUUCAUUGAUAACCGUUUUGUUAUGAAUGAAAGACCAGUAGGUGUCUGACGACUCAUACAUGCCUGGGAACUGGUACGUUUACCCUACCCGAAUGUAAUAUUUCCUCCGAUUGAUACAUUUGAUGUAGUUUUUAGAAUAUUGAAAUCGAUUUGACUGAAAUAUUUUCUAGUUUUACAAUUUUUUUUAAAACAGAAAUUCACCAAUUGCCAUUUGAUUAGUGAAUUGAACUGUUAAUAAUUGUAAUGAUCAGUCGGUAAAUUAGUUUUAGAUUGUACUAGAACCUACGAAUCUAGUCUUUUGUUUUGUUACAGAUUCUUUAACAUGAUGUCUUCAUAUUGAAGUAUUUUGGGAAUUUAUAUCAAAUUCAACCACUGAGAAUUCCCAAAAUUUGAAGGCAUUCAUGUGGAUUACAAGAAUGGAAAUUCGUGUCUAAUAUUACGGUGUAAUUCACAUUCAUAGUAAUAUUACGAUCAUUUCAACAUUCUUGAUGUCUUCUUUGUGUAGUGAUUGGGAACACAGUGACAUUUGUUUCGAAUUUAUGGUGUAAUUCACCGCAAAAUUACGGUGUACUUCACUGUAAUAUUACGAUCACAAAAUCGUUUGUCACCAAUUCAGUGAAAUGUUUUCCUAAUUCUACGCAGAGAGACGCCAUCAAACUUUUGAAUUUUAGAACUAGAAAACCAUUUGGGCGGUGAAGUGCUGCUCCAAGUGAUCAUUUCAUUUAAAGUCAAUCAACGUUGAGUGAACCCCUAAUUGUUAUUAGUAGCACCCACAAACCUGAUUGAACUUUUUUUUUCUUCAUUCGUUUAUGUACAUUCCCGUUUAGUUUACUUAGUACGUAGAGUAAGAGAAUGUUUUUUAGUUCUAUACCCCGUGUUCUUCGUAUUUUGAUAA